GGACCUCCGAUUAAGUAAGA
RNAcentral lists this ribosomal RNA (20 nucleotides) under Heterococcus viridis. Its description in RNAcentral is "partial 26S ribosomal RNA". The record is from RNAcentral. Lineage: Eukaryota; Xanthophyceae; Tribonematales; Heteropediaceae.